Molecule: small nuclear RNA, 103 nt
Organism: Apodemus sylvaticus (European woodmouse)
Lineage: Eukaryota; Metazoa; Chordata; Mammalia; Rodentia; Muridae
Source: RefSeq, a predicted model, not a curated record
GUGCUCGCUUCGGCAGCACAUAUACUAAAAUUGGAACGAUAGAGAGAAGAUUAGCAUGCCCCUGCGCAAGGAUGACAUUUGUGUUUGUAUCUUGGUAGUAUAA